This 465-nucleotide ribosomal RNA is filed under the name Vreelandella stevensii. Its description in RNAcentral is "partial 16S ribosomal RNA". It matches the Rfam family "Bacterial small subunit ribosomal RNA", at positions 338 to 795 of the family's 1533-position model. The record is from RNAcentral. Lineage: Bacteria; Pseudomonadati; Pseudomonadota; Gammaproteobacteria; Oceanospirillales; Halomonadaceae.
CCUACGGGUGGCUGCAGUGGGGAAUAUUGGACAAUGGGCGAAAGCCUGAUCCAGCCAUGCCGCGUGUGUGAAGAAGGCCUUCGGGUUGUAAAGCACUUUCAGUGGGGAAGAAAGCCUUGGGGCUAAUACCCUCGAGGAAGGACAUCACCCACAGAAGAAGCACCGGCUAACUCCGUGCCAGCAGCCGCGGUAAUACGGAGGGUGCGAGCGUUAAUCGGAAUUACUGGGCGUAAAGCGCGCGUAGGCGGUCUGAUAAGCCGGUUGUGAAAGCCCCGGGCUCAACCUGGGAACGGCAUCCGGAACUGUCAGGCUAGAGUGCAGGAGAGGAAGGUAGAAUUCCCUGUGUAGCGGUGAAAUGCGUAGAGAUCGGGAGGAAUACCAGUGGCGAAGGCGGCCUUCUGGACUGACACUGACGCUGAGGUGCGAAAGCGUGGGUAGCAAACAGGAUUAGAUACCCGUGUAGUC